Phalacrocorax carbo (great cormorant) is the source of this 3945-nucleotide non-coding RNA. The record is from RefSeq and is a predicted model, not a curated record. Lineage: Eukaryota; Metazoa; Chordata; Aves; Suliformes; Phalacrocoracidae.
GAAGAGGCGGGGGGGAGGAGGGGCGGGUUGCGGCCAUGGUUCUGCCGCUCGCGCGCCGCGCACUCCUCGCCGCUGCCCUGGGCUCGGCCGGCCGGCCGCGGCUCCCCCGUCACCAUGCUCCGGCGGCGGCGGCGGCGGCGGCGCGGCCCUCCUCGGGCGCGGGGGGGCAGCCGGACACCGAGGGGCCCGGGCGGGCCACCGCCAUGCUGCGACACCUGCUGCUCAAGAUGCGGGCCACCGGGCCGGUGACGGUGGCCGAGUACAUGCGGGAGGCGCUCACCAACCCCGGCCAGGGUUACUACACGCGUGGCGGCGGCAUCGGCGAGAGCGGGGAUUUCGUCACCUCACCUGAAAUAAGUCAGGUGUUUGGAGAGUUAAUAGGAAUAUGGUACAUUAGCGAAUGGAUAGCCGCGGGCAAACCUAAAGCGUUCCAGCUGGUGGAACUGGGCCCAGGGAGGGGCACCCUUACUGAUGAUAUAUUACGGGUCUUCAAUCAGCUUGCCUCUUUGCUUAGUAAAUGUGAUGUCUCUAUUCAUCUGGUAGAAGUGAGUCCCAAACUCAGCAAGAUCCAAGCGCUGAUGCUGACAGGAGGGAAGGCACAGUCCAACCCCGAGGACAAGUCUGCUUACAUGAAAGGUAUCAGCAAGACUGGAAUUCCCAUCUCCUGGUACAGAGACAUUCAAGAUGUUCCGCCAGGUUACAGCUUUUACCUAGCACAUGAGUUUUUUGAUGCCCUGCCAAUACAUAAGUUUCAGAGAACAGAGAAAGGCUGGCGUGAAGUGUUGGUUGAUGUAGAUCCAGAUGUUCCUGACCAGCUGCGGUUUGUCCUGUCACCAUCCAGCACGCCCGCAACAGAAAACUUCAUUCAGCCUGAAGAAACAAGAGAUCACGUGGAAGUGUGUCCUGAGGCUGGUGUCAUCAUCCAGAGGCUUGCCUGUCGGAUAGAAAAUGAUGGUGGGGCUGCACUCAUUGCUGAUUAUGGUCACGAUGGAACUAAAACUGACACUUUCCGUGGUUUUCGAAAUCACAAACUUCAUCAUGUGCUGAGAGCGCCUGGUACAGCAGACCUGACAGCAGAUGUUGAUUUCAGCUAUCUUCGAAAGAUGACGCAGGGAAGAACAGCCACGUUAGGCCCCAUAAAACAGCGGGAGUUCUUAAAAAACAUGGGCAUUGACCUCCGAUUGCAGGUGCUCUUGCAGAAUUCCUGUGACACAGCAACUCACGAGCAGUUACAUCACAGCUAUGAUAUGUUGAUGAAUCCCAAGAAGAUGGGGGACUGUUUUAACUUUUUUGCCCUGCUGCCUCACCACAGACUUGUGCAUCCUGACAGGGAACAUAAGCCAGAAUCAAAGUCUCCCUUACCACCUGUGGCUGGAUUCAAUGAACUCUUACUGAAGUAAUUUCAAAUACUAUAGCAAAAUGUCUGAUAAAUAGUAGCUUACAAUAGCAGCUUAAUUAAAAAAUCAAAGUAAAAAAUAGUCCCACAUUUUAUGGUUUGACAUACUAAAUAUUUUGCAAUAUAUGUGCUAAGGAGACGCUCAGGUUUGAUACUUGCUUAAAACACACGAUGCCCUGAUAUUUUUGAAGAUAUCUUUAUUAAGAGAAUGGGGCCAAGAACCAUGCGAAAAGAGUUAUUAGUUCCAAAGUACCUGCUAACAGAAUUCCCACAGCCAGGACUGUCUAAUGACAGAUCCACAACCAAGGAAGCAUAAAGAAACAUUUCCUUCUAAAAGCAUGUGACAGGAAAGAUAAUUCAUGUAAAUAAAAAGAACAAGGCUGAUAGGGAAAUAAAUUUUAUUUUCAAGCUUAUCAGAGGAUAUUUACAAACAAUGGGAUGUAUAAAAAUAUAAAAGUACUUGACAGUGUCCUUUUGAGGCUAUAAAUUUUACAUGAGCUUUUUUCUAGCAUCAUCAUAGCACUAUUUUUUGCAUGGAUGCAACUUAAUUCAUCUAGGGGUAAGGAUAUGAAACACCAUAAACUACUGCUGUCAAAGUUUGCAGUAAAGGUAGAAAAAAGGGAAUAAAAACCUCAGCUAUUUUUACUACUCUGAAGAAAGUUUAGUCCUAAUCUCAGUCUGAUUGUUUGGUUCCUUGACUGCCAGCUGCUUGUGGCUUCUACUAGCUGUCCCCAUAAGUCCACAUGUGUGGUCAGGUAACCUCCUCCAAAGGCCAAUAGCUUUAUUUUUAAUUUUUUUUUAAUACAACUUGAAUAAAUAGCUCAUAUAAUAUGUUGGAGCAGAGCAGACUUUAUGGGGAGAGAUAUCAGCCAGGCCUUCUACUUCACUGUUGUCCCUUCCUUCCUCUAUUCCUGUUAUGCUUUUUCAAGUGACCAGGCUGGCUUUUUUCCCUCCCUUAAAACAAACAAAAAAAAAAACCUCACAGGAAUACCUGAAGUGAAAACUCAAGUAUAAAAUCUGAAGUUUAAAACCAGACUGUAUCUACAUCAUUACAGUUAGGAUGGAAGAUAGCAAUGGCUUCACUGAAAUUUGGUCACUGGAGCCAUGGAAGUUGCAGAGAGAAGGAGAAAGAAAAAGCACUGCUUCCCUUGCCAAGCACUAGACCGCCAGCCUCAGAGGCGAUUGUUCUGGUUCCAAAGAUGAAAAAUAGUCCUGAAACCCUGCCUUGACAGGGUGGUGGGGUUAAGGGACAAAUUCUGCCCCGUCCGAAUUCCUUUGCAUGGCCCUGACAGCAUAGAAGGGGGAAGAUAACCCCCACUGUAGGAGGGCAGGGGCUGCCAUGGGCCAGUCCCGGGCACAAACCUGAGAAAACACGUGCUAGGAGAGGACACAUGGUGGCGGGAAGGGCUGACGCGCUGCCUGCUGCAGGGGACUGCGCAGAGAUCGCACCAGCGUUUUGUACAAAGCUUGGUACAUCCUAACGGGGAAGCCAGAGUUCAGCCUUUACCACCUCAGACACCUACAAAAUUCAGUGGCGGUUAGACUGAGGGCAAUAGGAGAAGAAAAGCUGGGUUAAAGACCCAAACCCACCUGUGGGUAUGUACUUCUGCACCUGCCACUGGCUUUACUGCUGGGUCACUGUCAUUGCAAGCAGCUGCCAGCCCUGAAAUAACCUUGUAAAAUUUUAUGUAUACCUAACAACUUAGAAAAAGUCUGCUUGCCUGCUUCCUUACCUGAAUAACAACAGUAGGAAAAAAAAAAAAGUACUUACCUACACACACACACAAAAAAAAAAAACCAAACCCACAAACCUUUGCAGGAGGGAGAAGAGGUACCCCAAAGCCUCUCGCUGACUUUGCAGUUCAAGCCUGUAUCAGUAUUCUAAAACGUAUUUCAGACCAAGCUCCAGUUAAACAGCUUGGCACAUCAGGGAUAUGUGCAGCCAUCCAGCACCUUCCACCAGCACAACGCUGUUACCCCACAUACAAGGAAAGAUUUCACACCUUUUCCAUUUUUUAAAACAGGACAAAACCACCCUCUUCCAUUUGCAUUUAGCAUUCCUGGCCUCAGACUUCUUGGAAAUACCAUGAACUUUAACUGUUAUGCGUCCUCUGAGGGAAUCGCUUCCAAAGAAUAUUGCUGCUUCCUCUCUACCGUGCCACAAGGCCAGCAAGCGGUUGGGAAUCCAUCAGCUGAGACAUCUGCAUGAAAAACUGGAUUUGGAGUUGGUUUUGGACUCUUCAUUCAGCCUGAACAACAACGCUGAGCACAGUAAAGCAGACAGGAGGGGCUGUAGGUUAAGGUCAGAAGGCAAAAAGCCCUUUCUCCUACAAUCCAGCUGCCCUGGCAGAAGCAACAGGAUCCUCUGGGGCUUUGGACACUGAACUACGCAUACAGAAUUCAGAAAGAGCAACAGUUGUUCCAAAACUUCACUUCAAUUUCUGUCCGGAGUGUCCUUCUUUGCUGCAAUUUAGCACAAUGAAUAAAUCAAGGGUCUUCUUCCAUGUCAUCUGGAUUAGGAGCCAUAAUAAAAUGCUGGGGGUACUCAA